AGUGGUGUGGCAUAGUGGCUUGAGCAUUGGACUAUAAGUCUGGAGACUAGGGUUCAAUUCCCAGCUCAGCCA
Molecule: non-coding RNA, 72 nt
Organism: Phrynosoma platyrhinos (Desert horned lizard)
Lineage: Eukaryota; Metazoa; Chordata; Lepidosauria; Squamata; Phrynosomatidae
Source: the annotation of a GenBank genome assembly